GCGCACGGCGAGACGCUGUCGUCGAACUCAACUUCCGGCGGCGGCGCAGUGGCAAAUGGAGCAAACGUCCCCGGUUCAUGGGAACGCUGCAAAUUCAACUCCACAUCUCUCUCACUUCCCUUGCCAUGUUCCUCCUCAAGGCAUGGAGAUCGACGGCUUUCGGGGUAUAUGGGUACCUCAAUUUCACCAAGCCCGGCUUCGUCGAACAUGCAAAGAAGUUCAAGUCAGAAGAGAUGGAGGCUCGAAUAGAAGGGAAGAAUUGCAUAGUUACAGGAGCUAAUUCUGGACUUGGUUAUGCUACUGCUGAGGGUCUUGCUUCACGUGGGGCUAAUGUUUAUAUGAUUUGCCGCAACAAGGAGAGAGGAGAAGCUGCCCUCUCUUCGAUAAAAUCUACUACGGGAAACCCGAAUGUGCAUUUGGAGGUAUGUGAUCUUUCGUCUGUCAACGAGAUCAAGUCAUUUGCAUCCAGAUUUUCUUCAAAGGAUUUACCUCUUCAUGUCUUGGUCAACAAUGCUGGCUUGCUUGAGCAAAAGCGGAUCACCACGCCAGAAGGGUUGGAGUUGAACUUUGCGGUGAAUGUAUUAGGAACUUUUGCAAUGACAGAAUUAAUGUUGCCUUUGCUUGAUAAAGCGGCACCUGAUGCUCGAGUCAUCACUGUUUCUUCUGGUGGAAUGUAUACAAGUCCCUUGACCACUGAUCUAGAGUAUAGUGAUGCCAACUUUGAUGGGGUGCAGCAAUAUGCUCGAAACAAGAGAGUUCAGGUAGCGCUAACAGAAAAGUGGGCUGAGGUACACAAGGAGAGAGGGAUCGGCUUCUACUCGAUGCACCCUGGUUGGGCUGAGACACCGGGUGUUGCUAAGAGCUUGCCUGGUUUCUCUAAAUCGCUUUCUGGAAAGCUGAGAACUAAAGAGGAAGGUGCCGACACAAUUAUUUGGUUGGCUUUACAGCCGAAAGACAAAUUGGUCUCUGGUGCAUUCUAUUUCGAUAGAGCACAGGCGCUGAAACACCUCAUGUUUGCAGCUACUGGAGGCUCUCAUACUCACAUUGACUCGAUAAUUGGUAAUCUACGGUCUCUAUCCUGCCUUGCUUGAUGAAGCAGGAGUCAUUUCAAGGAUAUACCCGACCCUAGCUGCAGACUGUGAUUCAAAUUUCAGAAGGCAAGUCUACAAAGUGCAAUUUCUGACUAGGAAUUGAAUUUGGGUUCUGAUGGAGUAUGAAACCAUUGAAGAUGUCUUAGCAAGUUCAUCGUCCAGGUUGCAUUUGAGUUUUGAAUGUACCCAUUAGGUCAUCUAUAAAACCAGGAGAUAACAGCUGCUGAUUCUACUACAUGCCCUCUCUGAUCUAUUUCUCAUCUGUCACAUUGUCGAUGAAAUAAAUCAUUAUAUGUCUGGUGAAAGGCGGCUCUUACUUUUUCUUA
RNA transcript from Syzygium oleosum, 1417 nucleotides. RefSeq lists it as uncharacterized. The transcript is spliced from 11 exons. The record is from RefSeq and is a predicted model, not a curated record. NCBI's taxonomy places the organism in Eukaryota, Viridiplantae, Streptophyta, Magnoliopsida, Myrtales, Myrtaceae.